RNAcentral lists this long non-coding RNA (213 nucleotides) under Mytilus galloprovincialis (Mediterranean mussel). The record is from RNAcentral. Lineage: Eukaryota; Metazoa; Mollusca; Bivalvia; Mytilida; Mytilidae.
GUCAUGUUGUGCAAUAUCAAUAUCCAGUUCCAACCAAUUAUUUGCAAGCAGCAGUUCUUGAUUAUUCAUGAUGGAUACUCAUUAUGUAUACCUCAACGUCAACUUAGACACAGAAUAAGUAGGACCCUAUAAGUAUGGAGUAUUUGAACAGAAGCCUUAUGUGAGUUUGUCGUCGUUACAGACGUAAUACUGUGGAUUCAUUAUCACUCGUUG